RNAcentral lists this non-coding RNA (108 nucleotides) under Oceanibaculum indicum. RNAcentral's name for it is "Glycine sequence". It matches the Rfam family "Glycine riboswitch aptamer", at positions 7 to 88 of the family's 94-position model. From Rfam's summary of the family: This family represents the bacterial glycine riboswitch. The record is from RNAcentral. RNAcentral also lists the same sequence under 1 other name. Lineage: Bacteria; Pseudomonadati; Pseudomonadota; Alphaproteobacteria; Rhodospirillales; Oceanibaculaceae.
CUCUCUGGAAAGCAGGCGCGCAAAAGGCGGCGUGCCUCACCCAAGGUGAAAGCCGCGUUCCGUCCUGAGGGCGGAGGCGGUCAAUCUCUCAGGUCCGACGACAGAGGG